This is a non-coding RNA of Cinara cedri, 218 nucleotides long. The record is from the annotation of a GenBank genome assembly. NCBI's taxonomy places the organism in Eukaryota, Metazoa, Arthropoda, Insecta, Hemiptera, Aphididae.
AAUGCACAAACAACUGUUAUCUAUUUGUCGUUUAAAAACUCGGCGAGAAUGUUCCGUCGGAUUUCGGCGGCAGAUUGGCGGCGCUCAACGGACGAAAUCCGCGCCGUUCGAUUGGCGGGAAAACGGAUUACGCGACGCUUGGCCUGCCCCCGGACCGACGGCGGUACACGUGCUCCGGGAUAAGACGAGUUAUCUAGUGCGGUUACCUACGCAACAAG